Molecule: ribosomal RNA, 252 nt
Filed under: uncultured bacterium
Lineage: Bacteria
Description: partial 16S ribosomal RNA
Rfam family: Bacterial small subunit ribosomal RNA
Source: RNAcentral
UACGUAGGUCCCGAGCGUUGUCCGGAUUUAUUGGGCGUAAAGCGAGCGCAGGUGGUUUAUUAAGUCUGGUGUAAAAGGCAGUGGCUCAACCAUUGUAUGCAUUGGAAACUAGUAGACUUGAGUGCAGGAGAGGAGAGUGGAAUUCCAUGUGUAGCGGUGAAAUGCGUAGAUAUAUGGAGGAACUCCGGUGGCGAAAGCGGCUCUCUGGCCUGUAACUGACACUGAGGCUCGAAAGCGUGGGGAGCAAACAGG